Phrynosoma platyrhinos (Desert horned lizard) is the source of this 72-nucleotide non-coding RNA. The record is from the annotation of a GenBank genome assembly. NCBI's taxonomy places the organism in Eukaryota, Metazoa, Chordata, Lepidosauria, Squamata, Phrynosomatidae.
ACCAGUGUAGUGUAGUGGUUUGACUGUUUGACUAUUGCUAUGGAGACCAGGGUUCAAUUCCCAGCUCGGAUA